Molecule: long non-coding RNA, 203 nt
Filed under: Carica papaya (papaya)
Lineage: Eukaryota; Viridiplantae; Streptophyta; Magnoliopsida; Brassicales; Caricaceae
Description: long non-coding RNA (CPAP_LNC013947)
Source: RNAcentral
ACGUUACCCGCGACGAAAACUAUGGUCUGCUGGUUUAUUCGCAAAUGUGAAUCACGAUGUUGAGACAUUUACUUGAUAUUAGAACGAGAAGCAGAAGUGCAGUGUGCAUGCACAAGAAAACAAAUGACGGGAGCGGGGAAGGAAGGAGAAGGUUUGUAUGUUUUUGAAGCGCAGAAUGAAACAGGUGCGAUCAUACUAGCACU